RNAcentral lists this ribosomal RNA (390 nucleotides) under uncultured eukaryote. Its description in RNAcentral is "partial 18S ribosomal RNA". It matches the Rfam family "Eukaryotic small subunit ribosomal RNA", at positions 592 to 976 of the family's 1831-position model. The record is from RNAcentral.
CAAUAGCGUAUACUAAUAUUGUUGCAGUUAAAAAGCUCGUAGUUGGAUUUCUGGCUGAUGUGCGCGUCGCCCGGUCAAUGUGCCCAUGUGCCUUUGACGCGCGUGCAGAUGCGCACCAGCCAUCCUUCUGGUGCAUGUUUCCUUUGGAUUCAUGAUUUCCAGAUCGAUUACUUUGAAGAAAUUAGAGUGUUCAAAGCAGGCUUACGCCGUUGAAUAUGCUAGCAUGGAAUAAUAAGAUAGGACCUUGGUACUAUUUUGUUGGUUUGCGCACCGAGGUAAUGAUUAAUAGGGACAGUUGGGGGUAUUCGUAUUGCAUUGUCAGAGGUGAAAUUCUUGGAUUUUUGCAAGACGAACGACUGCGAAANCANNNACCAAGGAUGUUUUCAUNAA